Molecule: unclassified non-coding RNA, 441 nt
Filed under: Zea mays
Lineage: Eukaryota; Viridiplantae; Streptophyta; Magnoliopsida; Poales; Poaceae
Description: misc RNA Zm00001eb175020
Source: RNAcentral
UUGAGGAGUGUAACCAGCAACCUCAGCUCUGAAAAGAACCCUAGACUUGAUUCCACCAAUGGGUGUUCAUGCUGUUGGAUGGCAAGUGACAACCCCUCUUUGCAUCCUGCAGUGUUUCACCUUUCUAAUAUUUCUGUUUGCUCCCAGUGGCUUGAACCCCUACAAGUGCACCUGGCAUUGGUUACCAAUCUGCAGAUUCAUAACAUCUCAUGAAAAGGAUGCGUGUUGGACAACCAGAUAAGGUAUUACAGAGAAUAUGAAUAAUCUGGAGGUUCUGCUGAUGCAUGUAAAUUAUGGAAUUAUGGUUUCAAUUCUAGAUUAUUUGAGAAUGGCACCUCUAUAUGCUCAUUGGGCAAUGAUCAGAAAGUUGGAGAUCAUAGAAAUACUGAGAACGCUGUAUCUUGUUUACAUUUAUGGGCACUUUUGAAAAGAAAUUAUUUU